Molecule: long non-coding RNA, 188 nt
Organism: Ylistrum balloti
Lineage: Eukaryota; Metazoa; Mollusca; Bivalvia; Pectinida; Pectinidae
Exons: 3
Source: RefSeq, a predicted model, not a curated record
UGAUGACAACAAACAAGUACCCCAGUGCAUUGUAAUUACGCUUGGACAAUGACUUACUCUCUGAAACAGUUUUAUAAGCACUUUCCACUCUCUAUAUGCUAAUGACGGUUUCUAGGCAAGGAAUGCAGUAAAUUGAAACUGAGAAUACCAGCGGAGGGUAAACCAUCAUUGCAUACAUGAUCAGACAC